RNAcentral lists this ribosomal RNA (450 nucleotides) under uncultured bacterium. RNAcentral's name for it is "partial 16S ribosomal RNA". It matches the Rfam family "Bacterial small subunit ribosomal RNA", at positions 354 to 796 of the family's 1533-position model. The record is from RNAcentral.
GUGGGGAAUAUUGGACAAUGGGCGAAAGCCUGAUCCAGCCAUGCCGCGUGUGUGAAGAAGGUCUUCGGAUUGUAAAGCACUUUAAGUUGGGAGGAAGGGCAGUAAGUUAAUACCUUGCUGUUUUGACGUUACCGACAGAAUAAGCACCGGCUAACUUCGUGCCAGCAGCCGCGGUAAUACGAAGGGUGCAAGCGUUAAUCGGAAUUACUGGGCGUAAAGCGCGCGUAGGUGGUUUUGUAAGUUGGAGGUGAAAUCCCCGGGCUCAACCUGGGAACUGCCUCCAAAACUGCAUGACGUGAGUACGGUAGAGGGUAGUGGAAUUUCCUGUGUAGCGGUGAAAUGCGUAGAUAUAGGAAGGAACACCAGUGGCGAAGGCGACUACCUGGACUGAUACUGACACUGAGGUGCGAAAGCGUGGGGAGCAAACAGGAUUAGAUACCCCAGUAGUCC